RNAcentral lists this ribosomal RNA (484 nucleotides) under uncultured bacterium. RNAcentral's name for it is "partial 16S ribosomal RNA". It matches the Rfam family "Bacterial small subunit ribosomal RNA", at positions 30 to 507 of the family's 1533-position model. The record is from RNAcentral.
AUUGAACGCUGGCGGCAGGCCUAACACAUGCAAGUCGAGCGGAUGAAGGGAGCUUGCUCCUGGAUUCAGCGGCGGACGGGUGAGUAAUGCCUAGGAAUCUGCCUGGUAGUGGGGGAUAACGUCCGGAAACGGGCGCUAAUACCGCAUACGUCCUGAGGGAGAAAGUGGGGGAUCUUCGGACCUCACGCUAUCAGAUGAGCCUAGGGCGGAUUAGCUAGUUGGUGGGGUAAAGGCCUACCAAGGCGACGAUCCGUAACUGGUCUGAGAGGAUGAUCAGUCACACUGGAACUGAGACACGGUCCAGAGUCCUACGGGAGGCAGCAGUGGGGAAUAUUGGACAAUGGGCGAAAGCCUGAUCCAGCCAGGCCGCGUGUGUGAAGAAGGUCUUCGGAUUGUAAAGCACUUUAAGUUGGGAGGAAGGGCAGUAAGUUAAUACCUUGCUGUUUUGACGUUACCAACAGAAUAAGCACCGGCUAACUUCGUG